AAAGAUUUAGUUAAAAUAUAACAUUAAUUCGUCAAGUUAAAAUAAUUCUUACAAAUAAUCUUUA
This 64-nucleotide transfer RNA is filed under the name Elateroidea sp. BMNH 1274729. RNAcentral's name for it is "tRNA-Asp". Lineage: Eukaryota; Metazoa; Arthropoda; Insecta; Coleoptera. The record is from RNAcentral.